Ictidomys tridecemlineatus (thirteen-lined ground squirrel) is the source of this 412-nucleotide long non-coding RNA. RefSeq lists it as uncharacterized. Lineage: Eukaryota; Metazoa; Chordata; Mammalia; Rodentia; Sciuridae. The record is from RefSeq and is a predicted model, not a curated record.
CCGCCCACCCCUUCAAGGCCCGGAGCGAGGCAACCCUCGUCUCGACAGCGCAGGCGCUAGGGUGAGGCCGACCUCGCGCAGUGACGCAGGCGCGCUCCCUGCGAGGCGGGGCUGCCCUAGGAGGUCGACGCGCGAGAAAAAAGAAGCAGGAGGGCGCAGCAAGACCUUAAAGGCGCCGUGGUGUAAAAGGGACAGGACAUCUGGGUCGACAACUCGCUAGGAAACUCAGACCCAGAGAGAGGUUUGAGCCUGGAGAGCACUGCACGUCCGCCAGGAGGCUCGCGGCCCUGCCCCUGAAGGGUCAGCGAGGGCGGCCCAGCACAAAAGAAGACAAUUCUAAAACUUAAGUGGAAAUGUAAAGGUCCUGGAAUAGCUACAAUUUUGAAAAAGUACAAAAAAAAAAAAAAAAACA